Tupaia belangeri chinensis (Chinese tree shrew) is the source of this 1798-nucleotide long non-coding RNA. RefSeq lists it as uncharacterized. The transcript is spliced from 3 exons. NCBI's taxonomy places the organism in Eukaryota, Metazoa, Chordata, Mammalia, Scandentia, Tupaiidae. The record is from RefSeq and is a predicted model, not a curated record.
CGGCGGCGGUAGCCCCCGGGCUCGGACGUGGCAGCUCCUGUCGGCGCCUCGGAACUGCUCACUUCCGGCGCCGGGCUGGCAAGCCGUCGGGCCGUAACUCCGGAGGCUCCGGGCAGCAACGCGCUCGCCGUGCACUAAGGUUCCGUACCCGUCCGAGGGCCUGCCGGAGCCCCGCCCCUUACACUUGCAGAACGCGCGAGACCCACGGGGUGGGGCUUUGCUCGCGUGGCGACCCUGACCCUUGAGCUUUGGAAUCUGAAGUUCUAGUGCGUCUCCACCAGGUCUUCCCUUUUCCUGAGAUCCAUGAACGAAAGAGAAGGUUCCUACCUUUCCGAGGGAGGCCGGCCGAGUGUUCCUCACGAACACGGAGAGAGAGAAUUCGGCCCUGUGAGACAUGAGCCUGGGGGCAGCCGCGCAUAGUCUAGCCUUGUGACAUUAAGGAGGCAGGUGAGCCAGGAUAAAGUCCCCACACCUCUUGGCUUGCAGACAGAGCAGAAUGGCUUCCACAGAGAGGACCUGGACGUGAGCGCACGCCAUCAUCGGGGCCUCUGCGGCCCGCGCCUCCUGCUGGACAGCCAGGGCGGAGCAGCUCCCAUCCAGCACGGGCCUGGUCCUGCACCGUGGGGGGGUGGGGGGGGGUGGUGUUCCGGUUCUGCUUGGGGACAGAGGCACUUUAUAACAGUACCAAGAGAUGAGGCUGGGCAUCUAUUUCUCAUCAGAGAGGUCGGAGGCUGGUGUCCGUCCGAGUGGAACAGCACACGGGUCUCCCUUGCAGCCUGGGAGGGCCUGACUAGAGACGGCAAGGGAGGCAGGUGGGAAAUGGACACUUAGUCCCCCUGGGCCCGGAGCACAGAGACUUCUGGAAAGAUCUAGACAGGGCCAGAGAUGAGAGAGCCAGGUCAGAAGUGGGGCAUGAGGAGGUGAGCUGGGCCGGAGAGGGAGAUGGAGGAGGGCUUAGAGUCCCAGGCUGUCGCUUCGUCAGAGAAGAGCAGUGUGCAAGAGGUUAGACCGGGACCCGGCCGGGACAUGAAGCUCUAGCCUCUGUUUUCUACCUGCGGUAAAGCUACGGGGGCCAAACGUAUGCCUUCCAGGAAGGAGUCAGGACCCAGCUGCAAGGAGGGUUUCUGUGAGGUGGGGAGGGACAGAGAUCCUAAGCUCCUGGGGUGGGACCUCCAGCUGACCUCUCUCCUGCUCUGACCUUGGCUCAACUACGCCUUUGACCACGACCCCUGGUGUUGACGGUGCUCCCAGGCCAGUCGGGGAACCCUCGAUGAGGGGCAUCUCUUGGUUGGACUCCCCUGUGACCAGCUGUGACCCCGAGGGGCUUUUACUCCUUGGCCCAUGGUAACUGUUCACCUGACCUGACUACAAGACGGACCUGGCUGACUCCGAGUCCUCUCCUCCCAGGCCUGGCUCUUCCUGACCUAGUCUGCCCCUAGACCAGUGGGCCAGCAUAUGCUCCCCUGUGGCUGCUGGGACCCUGUGGCAGAUUGGGGCCCCUUGACCAACGGCGAUCCUUUGGCUGACCCAGUCUUUGUGACCACUUGUGACCCCCUAUAGCCCCCUGACUGGUUGUAGCCCUGGCCCUGACCCAGCUACCCCUGCCCGCCGAGUGAUUGUCACCCCUGACUGGUAGGAUCUCCUGACCAACUGUGACCCUCUUCAUUGGCUAUAACCCUUCAGCCCCCUGGGCCUAACAAUGACCAGCUGCCCCCCCCAUGUCCUCUGAUGCCCCAGCCCCUGCCCGCUGCCCGCCCAGGAGCUGGCGUGGGAGGCGCCAGCAGGAGGCGGUAAGGAG